UAAAAACAUUCUCCACAUAGUAUACAUGUAUUCAAGUCAUUAAAUCUAUAAAUUGGAUUUUUAAUGCAUUUUUAAUAAUAGACAGACAAAAAUGAGUUCAUUGGUGAGUGUUAAAUGUGGCAACUUUGUGUCAGUUGUGGUGUAUAAAGUCGCAGUGUAACAUUGGUAGCGAGAUAUAUUUUCUUACAUAUUGUGACAAACAAUAUGUAAGUGAAACUGAGUGAAACAGAUUAUCGAAAAAAAUAGAACAUAGGGCGGGGACGUUUUGGGUUCUGUUUAUUGGUUAUUGAUUGGCUGGCGGUAGAUCUGAAUGCAAGAUUGCUGUCGAUUGUGAGAAAGAGGUGGGGUUUAAGCAAACUAAGUGAUUGGAGAGGUUUGGUAUCCGUCACCAGAGAGAGUUGUUUCACGGGAAGAGUUAUGACAAAAAAAUAAAAAUAAAAAAUGA
Long non-coding RNA from Sinocyclocheilus grahami, 445 nucleotides. RefSeq lists it as uncharacterized. Lineage: Eukaryota; Metazoa; Chordata; Actinopteri; Cypriniformes; Cyprinidae. The transcript is spliced from 2 exons. The record is from RefSeq and is a predicted model, not a curated record.